RNAcentral lists this ribosomal RNA (622 nucleotides) under Lactobacillus gasseri. RNAcentral's name for it is "bacterial SSU rRNA". It matches the Rfam family "Bacterial small subunit ribosomal RNA", at positions 372 to 985 of the family's 1533-position model. The record is from RNAcentral. Lineage: Bacteria; Bacillati; Bacillota; Bacilli; Lactobacillales; Lactobacillaceae.
UGAACGCAAGUCUGAUGGAGCAACGCCGCGUGAGUGAAGAAGGGUUUCGGCUCGUAAAGCUCUGUUGGUAGUGAAGAAAGAUAGAGGUAGUAACUGGCCUUUAUUUGACGGUAAUUACUUAGAAAGUCACGGCUAACUACGUGCCAGCAGCCGCGGUAAUACGUAGGUGGCAAGCGUUGUCCGGAUUUAUUGGGCGUAAAGCGAGUGCAGGCGGUUCAAUAAGUCUGAUGUGAAAGCCUUCGGCUCAACCGGAGAAUUGCAUCAGAAACUGUUGAACUUGAGUGCAGAAGAGGAGAGUGGAACUCCAUGUGUAGCGGUGGAAUGCGUAGAUAUAUGGAAGAACACCAGUGGCGAAGGCGGCUCUCUGGUCUGCAACUGACGCUGAGGCUCGAAAGCAUGGGUAGCGAACAGGAUUAGAUACCCUGGUAGUCCAUGCCGUAAACGAUGAGUGCUAAGUGUUGGGAGGUUUCCGCCUCUCAGUGCUGCAGCUAACGCAUUAAGCACUCCGCCUGGGGAGUACGACCGCAAGGUUGAAACUCAAAGGAAUUGACGGGGGCCCGCACAAGCGGUGGAGCAUGUGGUUUAAUUCGAAGCAACGCGAAGAACCUUACCAGGUCUUGAC